This 253-nucleotide ribosomal RNA is filed under the name uncultured bacterium. Its description in RNAcentral is "partial 16S ribosomal RNA". It matches the Rfam family "Bacterial small subunit ribosomal RNA", at positions 524 to 776 of the family's 1533-position model. The record is from RNAcentral.
UACGUAGGGUGCGAGCGUUAAUCGGAAUUACUGGGCGUAAAGCGUGCGCAGGUGGCUCUUUAAGUCAGAUGUGAAAGCCCCGGGCUUAACCUGGGAACUGCGUUUGAAACUGGAGAGCUGGAGUGUGGCAGAGGAAGGUGGAAUUCCUGGUGUAGCAGUGAAAUGCGUAGAGAUCAGGAGGAACACCGAUGGCGAAGGCAGCCUUCUGGGCCAACACUGACGCUCAAGCACGAAAGCGUGGGGAGCAAACAGG